Molecule: ribosomal RNA, 100 nt
Filed under: Alviniconcha hessleri
Lineage: Eukaryota; Metazoa; Mollusca; Gastropoda; Provannidae
Description: partial small subunit ribosomal RNA
Source: RNAcentral
UGAUUGAAACUAAAUCAAUCAUGAGAUCAACUAUGUGAAGCACUGAAAAACUCCGGGGUUUUUGGAAAACAAGCUGAGUAAGCUGCAAUUGUAAUUAAUA